This 119-nucleotide ribosomal RNA is filed under the name Pteropus alecto (black flying fox). Lineage: Eukaryota; Metazoa; Chordata; Mammalia; Chiroptera; Pteropodidae. The record is from RNAcentral.
AUCUACAGCCAUGCUACCCUGAACAAGCCCAAACCCGUCUGAUCUCGGAAGCUAAGCAGACUCAGGCCUGGUUGGUACCUGGACGAGAGACCACCUAGGAAGACAAGGUGCUGUAGGCA